This 742-nucleotide small RNA is filed under the name Idesia polycarpa. Its description in RNAcentral is "miR482-miR1448 polycistron non-coding RNA". The record is from RNAcentral. Lineage: Eukaryota; Viridiplantae; Streptophyta; Magnoliopsida; Malpighiales; Salicaceae.
UUCAUGAAUUAAUUUUUUUUCUUGCCUACUCCUCCCAUUCCAUCUGCUUUCUGCGAUUCCUUCUCUUUCCUUAUUCUAGACAAAAGAGUGAUUUAAAAUAAAUUAAGGAGUAAGAGGGAAAGGAAAGAGGGUUGGUGGGAGUUACGGGUAUGGGAGGAUUGGACAGGAUUGCUUGGUUUUAAUUAACCAAAGCUUACUCUUUCCAACGCCUCCCAUACCGGUGAUCUCCAGCUGUUUCCUCCCCUUCCCUAGCUUGUCCUGCUCAAAACCUUCAAUUCACAUAUCCCCCAAUUUGGUAAAAACUGCCUUUGUAUGAUUGGCCUUGGUCACAUGAUGAUGACCAAGCUAUUUCUUUCCUUUCUUCUUUUUUUUUAAAUAAAGUAUUGUCCUUUCCGGGACUGGUUUAUCUUGUUUUUGGGAGGGAGGUUGUUAUAUGGCUUGAAGAAUGAUUUUUUUUCCCUCUUUGAGGUUAAAAAAAAAAAAGCUAGUGGUUGGUAAUGAAAUACCGUUAAAAAAAUUAAAGGAAUUUUUGAUUGGUUGAUAGAUCUGGGUAAUUCAUUUGUUAAUCUUGCAAAAUUAGGAUAACCAACUGAUAAAGCAUGGGGCAUGGAAAGAGAACUGAGACAUACCUAACAUAUUUGUUACUCCCUCAUUCAGGCGGGGGGGGCUGACUUAUACAGACCGGACUGCUUAGCACGGACGGUCAGUGACUAAUUAUUUCAGGAAGGAAUUUAUUGCGAGC